Molecule: ribosomal RNA, 819 nt
Filed under: Triticum aestivum (bread wheat)
Lineage: Eukaryota; Viridiplantae; Streptophyta; Magnoliopsida; Poales; Poaceae
Description: partial small subunit ribosomal RNA
Source: RNAcentral
AUGGCGGACCGCGUCCACCCCGCGCCGCUGCUGCCGCUCUCCACCCCACCCGCCCCGCCACCCGACAACAGCGACGCGGCCGCGGAGAACACCCCGCUGCGCUCCACCACAGCGGCGGCGGCGCCGGGCGCGUCGUACAUCGUGCAUGUACCCAAGGACCAGGUGCUCCGGGUCCCGCCCCCGGACCGCGCGCGCAGGUACCGCAAGCUCGCCGCGCGGCCGGCGCGGCGCCGCAUGCUCCGCCGCGCCUGCUGCGGCGCGUGCUGCGCGCUCCUCCUCCUGCUCCUCCUCGCCGCCGCGUUCGUCGGCGCCGUCUACCUCGCCUUCCGCCCCCGGGCGCCCUCCUUCUCCGUCACGUCCCUCUCCGUCGCCGGCCUCCUCGACGCCUCCCCCGCGCGGCUCGAUGCCGCCGUGCGCGCGGACAACGGCGCCAACAGGAAGGUCGGCGUGGACUACCGCGCCGGCGGCGAGGUCAGGGUCUCCUACUCCGGCGUCCUCCUCGCCACGGGCCGCUGGCCGGCCUUCUACCAACCGCCGAGGAACGUGACGCUCAUCUCCAUGCCGCUCACCGGGAGGGACGGCCUGGCCCUCACGGACGACCAGAGGGCGCGGCUGGCGGAGCAGGCCGCGGCGGGCGCCGUGCCGCUGACGGUGGAGGCGCGGGUGCCGGUGCGGGUGAGGCUCGGGAAGGUGCUGCGGACGUGGACCGUGGACGUGUGGGCGCGGUGCCAGGUCACGGUGGACAGGAUCGACGGCGAGACCACGGCCGCCAACCAGGGGUGCACGGUCAAGGCCAAGCCGCUCUGGUGGUGGUGGUGA